AACUCUGAGCGGUGGAUCACUCAGCUCAUGCAUUGAUGAAGAAUGCAGCUUGCUGCAAGAACUAAUGUGAAUUGCAGGACACAUUGACCAUCGACACUUCAAAUGCACUUUGCAGCCCUGGGUUACUCCCGGGGAUACGCUUCUCUGAGGGUCA
Ribosomal RNA from Protopterus annectens (West African lungfish), 154 nucleotides. RefSeq annotates it as 5.8S ribosomal RNA. The transcript has a single exon. The record is from RefSeq and is a predicted model, not a curated record. Lineage: Eukaryota; Metazoa; Chordata; Ceratodontiformes; Protopteridae.